Molecule: non-coding RNA, 832 nt
Organism: Danio rerio (zebrafish)
Lineage: Eukaryota; Metazoa; Chordata; Actinopteri; Cypriniformes; Danionidae
Source: Ensembl
GUCAAACGAAAAAGGCCCAGAAAAAUGGAAUGCGUGUCUCAGGCACCUGUACUCUCGGGUGAAAACAAAUGUAGUAAGUUAAUAAAAAAUAGAAAAGUUGUCACAAAGUAUCACUUGAUUCAUAUGUUUAAUGUUAUGACAAAUUAUAGCAAAUAUACAUUUAUACAUGUAACUUUUACCUUUUGCCAUUUAUUGCAUCUUUGUCUUUUAUUUUAAGUGUUAAAUAGAGGUUUGUAUGUAGCAUUGUAAAGGUGAUGCACUUGACAAUAUCUUAGUUUUUCCUCCUUCAGCCAUGGAUCCAAAAGGAGGCCUUUGUGAUUUACCAUCAGACCUGCUCAGACAGAUUCUUCUAGAUGUUGUUUUCGAUGAAGGAGAUGGAGCCUUCCUCACACUCUCACUUGUGUGAAGAAAGUUUUGUGACAUUGUCUGCAGUCAAGUUUUCCGUAGAAAAUAUCACUUGGCCUGGCUCGACAGCAUCACUGACUGGAAAUCUACAAGUCCAGAUAUAAAAGACAAAUAAAGAGUGGAGUUCAAACUCUCCACGUGUGAAUCAUGUGGUUGGCUGUACAAAGACACAAUUGGAUACUGUGGUGAUGGGAAGAAAGGGGUGUAUAGAGCUUUUUAUUCUGACAAAGAGUUCGAUGGCUACUGCUCGAUGCACUGCUUCUAUACAAUGAAUGACUGAAUGAAUGGAUGGCUGGAUUUGUAGUUACGGAUGGUAUUCGUGGCUAACUGAUGGAUGAUUGGAUUUGUGGUGAAUGGAAGAGGAUGGAUUUGUUUAUUUGAUUUAAAUUUGUUUGUUUUUUUGUUGAUUAAACAAAUGUUUCAUGGA